GGCCAAUAGGCUCAAUUGCUUUCGGCACGGAGAUUAAGAAACUCACUUUUUAAUGGAUAAAUGGUGUGGUUCACAAAAGAUUAAGCUUUUAAGUACUCCCUUAUUUUUUCCUUAAUCAUAUUUGGUUCUUUAUCCCAUUUAUAACUUGUUCAUUUAAUUUAAUUGAAUAUCAUUCUGAAAAUCAAAGAAUUGGAAUUGAAAUUGAAAUUGUCAAAUUGAAAUCAGCGAACAUCAGUGGCCAAAUAUCAUUUCGAAAAUAAAAAAAAGUGAGAGAACAAGCCGAAGCAAUCAAGAAAGUGAGAAACUGAGCUAAAGAUCGAAACUUUUAAUUUAUGUCUGUGUGUUUAGUAGAGAGAGAGAGAUGGGAUUGAUAAAGCAGAGCUCCAUCGGCGCACCAUUCUUCUUCUUCCUCACAAGCUCCAUCCGCGGCAGCCAUCGCCGCUCUUUCUGAGCUCCGGCGUGACAGCCCCUCCAAGCACCAUCACUGACAUCUCUCACCCUCUCUCUCACCUCUCCAAUGUUUUGCCUUCAAGCUUCAACAAUUCGACACAAAUUAUGAGAGACAAAAUUCCAAAAUAGAGUAGACGAAUCAAGAACAAGAGCAAGACGAAUCAAGAACAAAAUUCCAAAAUAGAGUAGACGAAUCAAGAACAAAUUAUGAGAGACAAAAUUCCAAAAUUCCAAAUUCGACUCAAACACAAAUCAAGAACCCUAAAUUCUACCCAUUUCUCGUUUCUCGUUUCUCAGGGACAAAGGUCUCCGACAGAUCGGAUAUAGGAGUUCUUAAUCCCUUUCAAACCACCUUCCUUCGAGCCUCUCGAACCGCCUUCCUUCGAACCUCCCGAAAUAGACAUGGAACGGAGAAACUGAGAUCUAGAGUAGACGAAUCCCCAUCAGAAAAUUGGGAGUCGAAAGCGUAUUCGCCGCUCAGAGACUCUUGGUCGACAAAAUCGACCAAGGAUCGGCCGGACUCUGAAGGAAUCGGCGAGGGUUUUUAGUAUACAUCACGGCGGGGAAUCACGGCCCGGGGGUGGGUUGCGGUUGAUCGGCGAAGGUGAGAGAGGCGGAGGUUGAAGAAUCAGUUCGCGCCGCUAGAGAGAGAAGAGAGGAUUUAGGGUUUUCGCAGGAGAGAGAGGAGAGAUGCCAUUUUCAAAAGUGAAAUGUAAAAAAAAAUCGAAAGAAAGAUUUAAUUAGC
RNAcentral lists this long non-coding RNA (1195 nucleotides) under Salvia miltiorrhiza (redroot sage). RNAcentral describes it as "long non-coding RNA (SMIL_LNC005663)". The record is from RNAcentral. Lineage: Eukaryota; Viridiplantae; Streptophyta; Magnoliopsida; Lamiales; Lamiaceae.